Molecule: long non-coding RNA, 927 nt
Organism: Eriocheir sinensis (Chinese mitten crab)
Lineage: Eukaryota; Metazoa; Arthropoda; Malacostraca; Decapoda; Varunidae
Exons: 4
Source: RefSeq, a predicted model, not a curated record
UAAGGGAAGGGAGGGAGUGAAGGAGAUGUGAGGGAGGUUGGGAACAUUAGGAAAUGCCUUUGUACUGCAGUGGACCAAUAAUAAUGGCUGAGGAGGAGGAGGAGAAGGAAGAGGGAGGGAUGUACACCUUUCAUAGGAAGCUCAGUCACAGCAAACAGGAGUCACUGAGGAGCUCUGUGCCUUGUCUUCAGAGGCCGUGGUGCUGAGUGAGUCUCCGAGGCUGUGUCUGGUGUGUGACGAGCAGGUGGAGCAACACGCAGCCUUACGGAAGGAGUGGCAUGGGUGACGCAGAGGCUCUCACUCAGGUGGUGCUGCCCGUGGCCUACCAGUUCAACCCACAGCUGGUCCUGGUCACUGCCAGCCUUGAUGUUGGUGCGGGGACCCACUAGGAGGUUGCCGCGUGAGUCCCGAUUGCUUUGAACAUAUGAUGGCCCUUCUGUCUGGCCUGGCCGAGGGCCGCAUAGUUCUGGCACUGGAGGGCGGCUUCACCCUCAACACCAUCAGCUACUGUAUGACGCUGUGUGCCAAGGCCUUGCUGGGGGACCCGCUGCCCCCCCUUGAGCCCCAGCUGGUGCCCAACAAGAGUGCCGUGCAGACCACCAAUGACAUCAUCCGUACCCACAGCUGCUACUGGCCGGCGCUCUGCUUCAAGAAAGAAGAAGCAGAAGAAGAAGAAAAGAAGAGAAGGAAGAGAAGGAGAGGGUGUAUGUGUGUGUGUGUGUUAUAUGGACAAAAUUUAAACUGAUUUCUUUCAACAUAUAUUUUAUUAUUAUUAUUGAAAGACAAACUUCUUCUUCACUUCCUCCUUCUUCUUCUUCUCUUUCAUCUUCUUCUUCUUCAUCUUUUGUCGGGGUUCUGAUAGGAAGAGAAAUAAUAAAAAUAAUGAGAAAGAAUUAGCUCAAUAGAGAAAGAGGGGGGGGGGACCCA